GGAGAGAUGGCUCAGUGGUUAAGAGCACUGGCUGCUCUUCCAGAGGUCCUGAGUUCAAAUCCCAGUAACCACA
Molecule: non-coding RNA, 73 nt
Organism: Rattus norvegicus (Norway rat)
Lineage: Eukaryota; Metazoa; Chordata; Mammalia; Rodentia; Muridae
Source: Rfam